GACGAACGCUGGCGGCGUGCUUAACACAUGCAAGUCGAACGGAGUGGCGAACGGGUGAGUAAAAAGUGGGUGACCUGCCCUGCACUUCGGGAUAAGCCUGGGAAACUGGGUCCAAUACCGGAUAGUUGGGGAUGGGCCCGGGGCCUAUAGGCUUGUUGGUGGGGUAAUGGCCUACAAAGGCGGCGACGGGUAGCCGGCCUGAGAGGGUGGACGGCCACAUUGGGACUGAGACACGCCCCAGACUCCGACGGGAGGCAACAGUGGGGAAUAUUGCACAAUGGGCGGAAGCAUAAUGCGGCGACGCCGCGGGGGGGAUGACGGCCUUCGGGUUGGAAACUCCUUUCACCAUCGACGCGGUAGAUGGAGAAGAAGCACCGGCUAACUACGUGCCAGCAGCCGCGGUAAUUC
This 408-nucleotide ribosomal RNA is filed under the name uncultured bacterium. Its description in RNAcentral is "partial 16S ribosomal RNA". It matches the Rfam family "Bacterial small subunit ribosomal RNA", at positions 28 to 526 of the family's 1533-position model. The record is from RNAcentral.